This 422-nucleotide ribosomal RNA is filed under the name uncultured bacterium. Its description in RNAcentral is "bacterial SSU rRNA". It matches the Rfam family "Bacterial small subunit ribosomal RNA", at positions 355 to 774 of the family's 1533-position model. The record is from RNAcentral.
UGAGGAAUAUUGGUCAAUGGACGGAAGUCUGAACCAGCCAUGCCGCGUGAAGGAUGAAGGCGUUCUGCGUUGUAAACUUCUUUUAUCUGGGAAGAAACCACAGAUUUCUAUUUGUGUUGACGGUACCAGAGGAAUAAGCACCGGCUAACUCCGUGCCAGCAGCCGCGGUAAUACGGAGGGUGCGAGCGUUAUCCGGAUUUACUGGGUUUAAAGGGUGCGUAGGCGGGCUAUUAAGUCAGAGGUGAAAUCUCCGGGCUCAACCUGGAAACUGCCUUUGAUGCUAUUAGCCUUGAAUUAUGUUGAGGUUGGCGGGAUAUAACAUGUAGCGGUGAAAUGCUUAGAUAUGUUAUGGAACACCGAUUGCGAAGGCAGCUGGCUAAACAUAUAUUGACGCUGAUGCACGAAAGCGUGGGUAGCGAACA